AUUGAACGCUGGCGGCAGGCUUAACACAUGCAAGUCGAGCGGAGAUGAGGUGCUUGCACCUUAUCUUAGCGGCGGACGGGUGAGUAAUGCUUAGGAAACUGCCUAUUUGUGGGGGACAACAUUCCGAAAGGAAUGCUAAUACCGCAUACGUCCUACGGGAGAAAGCAGGGGAUCUUCGGACCUUGCGCUAAUAGAUGAGCCUAAGUCGGAUUAGCUAGUUGGUGGGGUAAAGGCCUACCAAGGCGACGAUCUGUAGCGGGUCUGAGAGGAUGAUCCGCCACACUGGGACUGAGACACGGCCCAGACUCCUACGGGAGGCAGCAGUGGGGAAUAUUGGACAAUGGGGGGAACCCUGAUCCAGCCAUGCCGCGUGUGUGAAGAAGGCCUUAUGGUUGUAAAGCACUUUAAGCGAGGAGGAGGCCACUGAGACUAAUACUCUUGGAUAGUGGACGUUACUCGCAGAAUAAGCACCGGCUAACUCUGUGCCAGCCGCCGCCGUAA
RNAcentral lists this ribosomal RNA (501 nucleotides) under uncultured bacterium. RNAcentral describes it as "partial 16S ribosomal RNA". It matches the Rfam family "Bacterial small subunit ribosomal RNA", at positions 30 to 523 of the family's 1533-position model. The record is from RNAcentral.